CCUACGGGGGGCAGCAGUAGGGAAUCUUCCACAAUGGGCGAAAGCCUGAUGCAGCAACGCCGCGUGGGUGAAGAAGGUCUUCGGAUCGUAAAACCCUGUUGUUAGAGAAGAAAGUGCGUGAGAGUAACUGUUCACGUUUCGACGGUAUCUAACCAGAAAGCCACGGCUAACUACGUGCCAGCAGCCGCGGUAAUACGUAGGUGGCAAGCGUUAUCCGGAUUUAUUGGGCGUAAAGGGAACGCAGGCGGUCUUUUAAGUCUGAUGUGAAAGCCUUCGGCUUAACCGGAGUAGUGCAUUGGAAACUGGGAGACUUGAGUGCAGAAGAGGAGAGUGGAACUCCAUGUGUAGCGGUGAAAUGCGUAGAUAUAUGGAAGAACACCAGUGGCGAAAGCGGCUCUCUGGUCUGUAACUGACGCUGAGGUUCGAAAGCGUGGGUAGCAAACAGGAUUAGAUACCCCGGUAGUC
This 465-nucleotide ribosomal RNA is filed under the name uncultured bacterium. Its description in RNAcentral is "partial 16S ribosomal RNA". It matches the Rfam family "Bacterial small subunit ribosomal RNA", at positions 338 to 795 of the family's 1533-position model. The record is from RNAcentral.